Long non-coding RNA from Austrofundulus limnaeus, 1574 nucleotides. RefSeq lists it as uncharacterized. The transcript is spliced from 3 exons. NCBI's taxonomy places the organism in Eukaryota, Metazoa, Chordata, Actinopteri, Cyprinodontiformes, Rivulidae. The record is from RefSeq and is a predicted model, not a curated record.
AAGAGGAACUUGAAAGAAAAGAUGCUGAAGAUAAGAUGCCACGUUCACCUAUAGACAUUUUUGUGCACCGAUUUUAUUCGCAAAGUAUAAAACUUACACGUUUUUUGUUUUUAAGUCGAUAGUAGUUUAAAACAUAAGCAGUAAAAAUGUCCACAGUACUUAUACAGGAAGAUGGUGACCUUGCUUCAAGUCAUCAUAAGGAGCUGAAAUUCUGAAACAUGCAAAGAGGUGAGGAUCAUUUUAGUGGCUUCAUGAACAGCAAAUUUAAAGUGUGUUUAAUUUCAAACUACCAGAAAUAAAAAUUGUAAGCAGGUUAUUUUUGUUGAUUAUUUUUCCCCCCUUUCUGAAUCAAAGCUGGGAAUGCAUUAGGGUUACACAAGAACUACAUAAGGUUGGAUGUUAGUAAACUGAAAGUUAGUACAAGCCACAAGGUUUUGUUAAAAAAAAAAGGUAGGAGAAUGUUCUUAAAAAAACACAAGUAAAAGAAAACUAUUGCAUUGGACUUUUAAUUGUUUUCAUCUUUUAUUUCACUUCCAACACAAAGCAGAUUUUUGUCCACUGGGACAUGUCUAUUUCCUGGCAAACCCAACGAGAGCAUCAACACAAGUUAAAGUAAAAGACCCAUUUUAUUUUUAGCAUGUUCCUAAAAUUGCCUUCAAGUAGCAGCAACAUGAAGUGUAAAAAGAGCCACCUAGUUGUUAAGUUCAGUGCAUAAACGGCAACAUAAAUGUGCCUGAACAAUGGAUCAUUGAAAUCUACUGAUGAGUGAGUAUAAAACUGCCUGGUAAUCUGUGUGAUGAUCUGAGCUUGGUUUAGUGUUUGUAUUCAGUUUGAMGGUCAUUAAGUGAAUUUGGUUUGUAUUUUUGACCCUGACCUUUGGUUUCCAUUCAACCGUCAACCAGCUGGUUGUAUUUCCAGGGUAUUUGUUGCAUGUGUUUGAAUGCAUGGCUGAAUUCUGUGUUACUUUGUGAUGUWGUAAAUACAGUCAGACACCAUGCUACAUGAAUAAAUUCACACACUGACACUAAUAGAUCAGAGUGGUUUUGUGUGCCACUUUUCGUGCGUCAGGCUGAAUACAGUAACAAACUUCAGCAUGAUUCUCUUGUGCUGUUAUUGUUUAUUUGAAAUAAGUGUUUCUAAGUCAGGGGUCUUUUCCCCCCCUCAUAGUCUUUAUUUUGUGCUUGUUUGUUGUAGAGUUGUGCAGCAUGUGUUAACGGACUAAUCCAGACUCAGACGUUGCUGUAACUAACCUGUGAGAAAGGGUUUCCCACAGGAUGGGCGUCCAGCUUUCGUUUGUAAAAAGGAAAAAAAAGGACCCUUGGAAAUCGUGGUUCAUUCAGCUGUGGUAACUUGUUUUAUUUCCAGAAUUUUUCACUCAUGUUUUUAAGCGAUCAGACUCUUACACCGGGUGUUUCCCCUCCACAAUUUGCUAAUUAUAACAACUAUUUAAUGUAGCACUAAUGCUCUGAAGUCAUGAACAGCAGCGACUUCAAUGAACGCCUAGCACUCAAUGGUCUGUGAUGAUUUAUGCAAAAGUUUUCCAUUUCUUCAAUAAAAUCGAACAUGUGCUGAAA